This 424-nucleotide ribosomal RNA is filed under the name uncultured Alphaproteobacteria bacterium. RNAcentral describes it as "bacterial SSU rRNA". It matches the Rfam family "Bacterial small subunit ribosomal RNA", at positions 369 to 811 of the family's 1533-position model. The record is from RNAcentral. Lineage: Bacteria; Pseudomonadati; Pseudomonadota; Alphaproteobacteria.
CAAUGGGCCAAAGCCUGAUGCAGCCAUGCCGCGUGAGUGAAGAAGGCCUUAGGGUUGUAAAGCUCUCUCGCCAGGGAAGAUAAUGACGGUACCUGGWAAAGAAGCCCCGGCUAACUCCGUGCCAGCAGCCGCGGUAAUACGGAGGGGGCUAGCGUUGUUCGGAAUUACUGGGCGUAAAGCGCGCGUAGGCGGAUUGAUCAGUUGGGGGUGAAAGCCCGGAGCUCAACUCCGGAACUGCCUCCAAUACUGUCAGUCUUGAGUCCGAGAGAGGGUGGUGGAAUUCCCAGUGUAGAGGUGAAAUUCGUAGAUAUUCGGAAGAACACCAGUGGCGAAGGCGGCCACCUGGCCCGGUACUGACGCUGAGGUGCGAAAGCGUGGGGAGCAAACAGGUUAGAUACCCUGGUAGUCCACGCCGUAAACGAUG